Molecule: ribosomal RNA, 168 nt
Filed under: Pseudechidna brummeri (white ribbon eel)
Lineage: Eukaryota; Metazoa; Chordata; Actinopteri; Anguilliformes; Muraenidae
Description: partial 12S ribosomal RNA
Source: RNAcentral
AACCGCGGUUAUACGAGAGGCCCAAGUUGACGCGUCACGGCGUAAAGUGUGAUUAAAGAUAUUCCAAAAUGGAACCAAACACCCCCUAUGCUGUCAUACGCCAUGGGAGCUACGAAGACCAACAACGAAAGUGGUUCUAUGAACCUUGAACUCACGACAGCUAAGGUA